This 451-nucleotide ribosomal RNA is filed under the name Streptococcus mitis. Its description in RNAcentral is "bacterial SSU rRNA". It matches the Rfam family "Bacterial small subunit ribosomal RNA", at positions 28 to 467 of the family's 1533-position model. Lineage: Bacteria; Bacillati; Bacillota; Bacilli; Lactobacillales; Streptococcaceae. The record is from RNAcentral.
GACGAACGCUGGCGGCGUGCCUAAUACAUGCAAGUAGAACGCUGAAGGAGGAGCUUGCUUCUCUGGAUGAGUUGCGAACGGGUGAGUAACGCGUAGGUAACCUGCCUGGUAGCGGGGGAUAACUAUUGGAAACGAUAGCUAAUACCGCAUAAGAGUAGAUGUUGCAUGACAUUUGCUUAAAAGGUGCAAUUGCAUCACUACCAGAUGGACCUGCGUUGUAUUAGCUAGUUGGUGAGGUAACAGCUCACCAAGGCAACGAUACAUAGCCGACCUGAGAGGGUGAUCGGCCACACUGGGACUGAGACACGGCCCAGACUCCUACGGGAGGCAGCAGUAGGGAAUCUUCGGCAAUGGACGGAAGUCUGACCGAGCAACGCCGCGUGAGUGAAGAAGGUUUUCGGAUCGUAAAGCUCUGUUGUAAGAGAAGAACGAGUGGAGAGGGAAAGUUCAC